UUUCCUACGGGAGGCAGCAGUAAGGAAUAUUGGUCAAUGGACGAAAGUUGAACCCCAUGCCGCGUGGAGGAUGAAGGUCCUCUGGAGUAAACUCUUUAUCUGGGACGAAAAAAAGGUCUUUCUAGAUCGUCUGACGGUACCAGAUGAAUAAGCACCGGCUAACUCCGUGCCAGCAGCCGCGGUAAUACGGAGGGUGCAGCGUAUCCGGAUUUACUGGGUUUAAAGGGUGCGUAGGUGGACUGGUAAGUCAGUGGUGAAAUAUGGCAGCUCAACUGUCAGGGUGCCAUUGAUACUGCGGAGCUUGAGUACAGAUGAGGUAGGCGGAAUUGACGGUGUAGCGGUGAAAUGCUUAGAUAUCGUCAAGAACACCGAUAGCGAAGGCAGCUUACUAGGCUGUAACUGACGCUGAGGCACGAAAGUGUGGGGAUCAAACAGGAUUAGAUACCCUGGUAGUCCACGCCCUAAACUAUGGAUACUCGACAUACGCGAUACACUGUGUGUGUCUGAGCGAAAGCAUUAAGUAUCCCACCUGGGAAGUACGAUCGCAAGAUUGAAACUCAAAGGAAUUGGCGGGGGUCCGCACAGCGGUGGAGCAUGUGGUUUAAUUCGAUGAUACGCUACCUUACCUGGGCUAGAAUGUCAGUGGACCG
Molecule: ribosomal RNA, 650 nt
Filed under: uncultured bacterium
Lineage: Bacteria
Description: bacterial SSU rRNA
Rfam family: Bacterial small subunit ribosomal RNA
Source: RNAcentral